This 1262-nucleotide long non-coding RNA is filed under the name Capsicum annuum. Its description in RNAcentral is "long non-coding RNA (CANN_LNC004414)". The record is from RNAcentral. Lineage: Eukaryota; Viridiplantae; Streptophyta; Magnoliopsida; Solanales; Solanaceae.
CCUACUCCCCAUUAAAAACAUUGCAUUGUCCCUAAUGAAGAAAUAAAAGAGAGUAAAGGAGGGUAAAGACUCCCUGUGGCGCACUAGGCACUCGGGUUCAUGUCGGUAAAUGAUCGUACUGUCUCAAUAGGAGCCUCGUUAGACUGGGCUCCUCCCAUCGAGUCUGCUAUGAAGGGUGACUCAUCAUCCCUGGAUAAUUUCUCAUGGCAAGUUUUUCCUUGGAGACAUACCUAUGAGAAACAAACAAAACAAAACAAAACCAAAACAAAAGACAAAAAGUAAAGCAUGUUUUUGGAGUUUUGUUAGUUAAGAAAGAAAAUAAAGAUAAAAAAAGAAAAUAGGAUGCAAGGUAACUCAUCACUAGAGUCCAUGGGUUUUAUUUAUUACAACACUUAAUUAUUUAGGCACGACAAUGUCUCACAUUCUUCACAUUUCUCAAAACUAUCUCAUAGGACAUCUAUAACCUCCAAUGGAAACAAGAAUGACCAAUACCCUUAAGGAUGAUGUCAUCCAAUCUAUCAUAGGGCAAGUCAAACACUCAUUUUUCUCGGUUAGGCAUAGUGACCAACAAGAACCAUGGAUGCCAUAUUUCUCAAUAAACUUCUUCAACCAAUGACUACCAACUAUUUCAUUAUUAGGUUCAAUUGGACUCAAAACGAUGAUAAGAAAAUGACCACACCAUGCCCUAAGGAAAGUCACAUUGGCCACUACAAGCAUACAACACAUUCCUCUCUUAUUGUCAUUUCAACAAACAUAUAGCGGGCAUGCUAACUAUGAACUUGGAGAAAGAGAAUAGAAAGCACAAAAGAACAAGCUCAUUUCACCAAAUCAUCUUCAAACACAUUCAAGAUGCUUAUAUUAUUAUAAUUGAGCCACCCACCAUACAAAAUAAGCAAGAAAGGUUUUAAUGGACAUUUAUCAAGCACAUGGUGCACUAGCUUCAUUUAAGAGAGUAUCAUGAAUCAAACUAGUGAAACAAGGCACCAAUGACCAUAUAAUUAUUCCAACAAGUAUUAACAUCUCAAUAAGCUCACGAAAACCAAAUUCAAAUGAUCAAUCAUAAUGAGGUAUGAAGCACAAUAUCCAUUUUCAAGAGAAGUUAAAAAUAAAAUCAUGAAAGAGCAUACCUUUCUUGAUGUAAGAGAAGGAAAAAAGUGAAGAACAAGUCCAAAAGAAUUAUUACACUUCUUGCUAGCUCAAUUAUUGACAAAGAAAGAAAAAACUUUACUGUGAGAGAAAGGAUCCAUUGGAAUAGAGUUGUG